Molecule: transfer RNA, 60 nt
Filed under: Dipodomys ordii (Ord's kangaroo rat)
Lineage: Eukaryota; Metazoa; Chordata; Mammalia; Rodentia; Heteromyidae
Rfam family: tRNA
About the family: Transfer RNA (tRNA) molecules are approximately 80 nucleotides in length.
Source: Rfam by way of RNAcentral
AUGACUCAUGUGGCAGAGUACCUGCCUACCAAGCAGGAGGCUCUGAGUUCAAACCCCAGU